CCCAACUCUCUCACUGGGCCCUCAAAUUGCUCCAGAGGAUCUUAACUAGGAAUGACAACUCAUAUGAAGGCUCCUAAGGGUGAGCUCUCCCAGAAGGAAAAUUUAUCUGCAAAGCAAUCUUUUUUAUUUUUUCCUUCUCCUGAACUCAAGAUGGUAUAUGCCUAAGACACUCAGUGUGGGGCUUAUGAUAGUGGGGUUGAUGCGGGAGAGGAAAAGAGAAGAGAUUCUAAAUACUGAACCGGAUGGAAGGAAUUGGGUGGGAAUCCAAGAUUUAGAAAGCGAAGGUAUCGCUGUUACUGAAGAAGGAAAGGUUGGUGCCUGGGCCUGAGCAGUCUGGGGCUGUUGGGGAGCGAGGAAGUGGUCUUGUGGAGAAAGAGAAGGGCAGCAUCUUUAGCUGGAGAGAGCACAGCCAGGUGUGCGGGUGCAGCGAGGUACAGAAGCCGCCAGGGCGUCCGCUGCCCACCCUGCCCCACCCUAGUUGUUCCAACCUCAGGGCAGCUCCUGUAGUUGUCUUUGGCUCCCCGGAGCCCUGCUCCUCCCCCCUUUCCCUCUCCCCCGCUCCCCACCACAAAGCAACUGGCUUCCAUUACCCCUGACAGCUCCAAGCGGCCGCCCAGCCCAUCCCCACCCCUCCCCUCCCCUCCCCUGACUGACUCCCUGCCGUUCCCUUUUAUGGAUAUUAAGAGAGAAGAGAGGGAGGAGGUGGAGGGGGGGAACCUGGGGGAGAGGGAAGCUGAGUGAUCAGCGAAGGGGUCUCAUUCUCUCCCCAGACCCUCUUCCUACCGGGAACCCGAGAUCUUCUUUCGAGGCUCACCUCCCCCCCACAUCCGGGGGGUGAUUUCCCACUUGACCAAAGCGCCAAGAUUUGAGGUUUGGAUUCCGGGAGACUGCCCCCCCCAACCCUCUCUCGCGGGUAGAGGAAAGAUGGGGGUGGGAAGAUUUCCGGAUCCCCCUACUCUUGAACUCCCUCCCCAGCCGGGCAACGCAGUGAGAAAUCUCAGACACUCUCUUCCACUCCCCACUCCCUUACGGAUCAGAGGACAAAAGGCUCUCUGGGCUGGCGGGAGGGAAAGAAAACUAUUUUUAUCCCAUUAAAUUGUCAGCCUCAACUCCCAGCUCUGGCUCCGAGUACCCGCACACUCGCUUUUCUACCCCCGGGAGGAACAGUCUCGAACCCAGGACCUGGAGCGUUGCAGCCGAACCGGGCGGCUUGGCAAAGCUCAAGAGGAAACACCUGGCGGGAAGCGGGCGGGGGCAGCAGCCCAGGGGGCCCCAACAGGAAAGGGGAGGGCGCUGGCUGCGGAGGGCACAGGGGUCAGGCUAAGCCACUUCCCCGAGCCCGGGACGCGGCCCUGGCCAACCUCGGUAUUGGCUCCUCGGUGUCGGGAAGAGUCUUGCCGGGCUUGCCAGUGUAUCUGACCUUUGCCGCGGGGGCCUGUCAGCUGUGGCCAGCUGUGCCGAGUCAAGCUCAGCGAGCCAAGCAGUCUCGGAGCUGAAGGCAGGAAGCAGGCAGGGCCCGGCCGGGGUGUACCCUUGUGUGUUGUAGGAGGCCAGGCUCAGUUUGGGGGUGUCUAGAGAGGACUGCCCUCAGAGGGACUGUCAAUGUGUCUGUUUGUGUGUGUGAAAAACUGGAUGUGUUGGGAUGCAAAUGUAGGAGGCUGGUCUCUGAAUCCAUGUAUCUACAUGUCAUUUUAAUGGUUGGUAAUGAUUAAAUUUGAAUUCUAACAAGGUGAGUUUUGCCUUCUCACAUCACCAUGCUGUUAAAGAAUGUACUGAUUUCUUUUGGUUUCAGCAUUUCUACCUUAUUUGCUCAGACCCUGUACAUCAAAACAAUGUCAUUGCUACUGUCAUGAGAAACUUUAGAAUUCAGGACCCUGAAGAAGCUGCCAUUUUUCACCCAUGAAGUCAAUGAAUGUUGGCUGAAAGGGAUCUUAAGAGGCCAUUUAGUCCAAGCUUUGACCUGGUCAGGAAUCCCAAUGGAGUCAAGAGUUUGGGAAGAAUGGCCUGUGUGCAGGAGACUUGAGCUCUGAAGGGGUGUUUGCAGCAGGACGCGAGAGGGAAAGUGCAUAUGAAGGAGACAGGGCAUUGUGCUGCGAGUACUCGUAGUUCCGGUCCGGCGCCGCAAAACUGCUCCUUUUCUGCAAGCUCUGUGGGAACGCCAAGAAACAAGAUGAUCACGGACGUGCAGCUGGCCAUCUUCGCCAACAUGCUGGGCGUGUCGCUCUUCCUGCUCGUGGUUCUCUAUCACUACGUGGCGGUCAAUAACCCUAAGAAGCAGGAGUGAGGCGGCGCGGCCCCCCGCAGAUGGCUCUGCGCUCUGGAGGAAGCGUUUUCGGGCUCAUCUCUCCUGCCUGCUCAGAGCCGAGGAUGCCACAAGCCUGAGCCACGCAAAGGCCCCGAGGGACGCGGAGAAGCCUGCCACCAGGACCAAAAGCCUCGAAGAGGAUGGGAAGCAGCUGCUCCAAGGCUGAGGGGUUUGGGCCCCUAUUAAACAUCCCCC
Long non-coding RNA from Sarcophilus harrisii (Tasmanian devil), 2500 nucleotides. NCBI's taxonomy places the organism in Eukaryota, Metazoa, Chordata, Mammalia, Dasyuromorphia, Dasyuridae. The record is from Ensembl.